UAAGGUGGCUAUGGCGAUGGGGUUCCACCUCUUCCCAUUCCGAACAGAGAAGUUAAGCCCAUCAGCGCCGAUGGUACUGCUAACGCGGGAGAGUAGGUCGCCGCCGACU
RNAcentral lists this ribosomal RNA (109 nucleotides) under Bacteroidales bacterium. The record is from RNAcentral. Lineage: Bacteria; Pseudomonadati; Bacteroidota; Bacteroidia; Bacteroidales.